AUUGAACGCUGGCGGCAUGCUUUACACAUGCAAGUCGAACGGCAGCGCGGGCUUCGGCCUGGCGGCGAGUGGCGAACGGGUGAGUAAUACAUCGGAACGUGCCCAGUAGUGGGGGAUAGCUCGGCGAAAGCCGGAUUAAUACCGCAUACGACCUGAGGGUGAAAGCGGGGGAUCUUCGGACCUCGCGCUAUUGGAGCGGCCGAUGGCAGAUUAGCUAGUUGGUGGGGUAAAGGCCUACCAAGGCGACGAUCUGUAGCUGGUCUGAGAGGACGACCAGCCACACUGGGACUGAGACACGGCCCAGACUCCUACGGGAGGCAGCAGUGGGGAAUUUUGGACAAUGGGCGAAAGCCUGAUCCAGCAAUGCCGCGUGUGUGAUGAAGGCCUUCGGGUUGUAAAGCACUUUUGGCGGGAACGAAAAGGACUGUGCCAAUACCACGGUUCGAU
Molecule: ribosomal RNA, 447 nt
Filed under: Lautropia mirabilis
Lineage: Bacteria; Pseudomonadati; Pseudomonadota; Betaproteobacteria; Burkholderiales; Burkholderiaceae
Description: bacterial SSU rRNA
Rfam family: Bacterial small subunit ribosomal RNA
Source: RNAcentral